GUCCACGCCGUAAACGAUGGAUACUAGCUGUUGGGAGCAAUCUCAGUGGCUAAGCGAAAGUGAUAAGUAUCCCACCUGGGGAGUACGUUCGCAAGAAUGAAACUCAAAGGAAUUGACGGGGGCCCGCACAAGCGGUGGAGCAUGUGGUUUAAUUCGAUGAUACGCGAGGAACCUUACCAAGGCUUAAAUGUAGUUUGACCGUUUUGGAAACAGAACUUUCGCAAGACAAAUUACAAGGUGCUGCAUGGUUGUCGU
Molecule: ribosomal RNA, 255 nt
Filed under: uncultured bacterium
Lineage: Bacteria
Description: partial 16S ribosomal RNA
Rfam family: Bacterial small subunit ribosomal RNA
Source: RNAcentral